Molecule: ribosomal RNA, 240 nt
Filed under: uncultured bacterium
Lineage: Bacteria
Description: partial 16S ribosomal RNA
Rfam family: Bacterial small subunit ribosomal RNA
Source: RNAcentral
AGCGUUGCUCGGAAUCACUGGGCGUAAAGGGUGCGUAGGCGGGUCUUUAAGUCAGGUGUGAAAUCCUGGAGCUCAACUCCAGAACUGCCUUUGAUACUGAGGAUCUUGAGUUCGGGAGAGGUGAGUGGAACUGCGAGUGUAGAGGUGAAAUUCGUAGAUAUUCGCAAGAACACCAGUGGCGAAGGCGGCUCACUGGCCCGAUACUGACGCUGAGGCACGAAAGCGUGGGGAGCAAACAGG